Molecule: ribosomal RNA, 466 nt
Filed under: uncultured bacterium
Lineage: Bacteria
Description: partial 16S ribosomal RNA
Rfam family: Bacterial small subunit ribosomal RNA
Source: RNAcentral
GACGAACGCUGGCGGCGCGCCUAACACAUGCAAGUCGAACGAGCGAGCGAGAGCUUGCUUUCUUGAGCGAGUGGCGAACGGGUGAGUAACGCGUGAGGAACCCGCCUCAAAGAGGGGGACAACAGUUGGAAACGACUGCUAAUACCGCAUAGGCCCACGGUGCCGCCUGGCACAGAGGGAAAAGGAGCAAUCCGCUUUGAGAUGGCCUCGCGUCCGAUUAGCUAGUUGGUGAGGUAACGGCCCACCAAGGCGACGAUCGGUAGCCGGACUGAGAGGUUGAACGGCCACAUUGGGACUGAGACACGGCCCAGACUCCUACGGGAGGCAGCAGUGGGGAAUAUUGCACAAUGGGGGAAACCCUGAUGCAGCGACGCCGCGUGGAGGAAGAAGGUCUUCGGAUUGUAAACUCCUGUUGUUGGGGAAGAUAAUGACGGUACCCAACAAGGAAGUGACGGCUAACUACGUG